AUAACCUUUAAUUUAGUCCAGAGAGGCUGUCAAGGGAAAUCAAGAUUAACAGGCAGAGGUACAAUCUGCCCACUUUUUUGUGUAACCUUGCCAGUUAGUUGGUAAGGUUUUUUUUCAU
Streptococcus mutans is the source of this 118-nucleotide regulatory RNA element. It matches the Rfam family "PyrR binding site". Rfam says of the family: This family represents the PyrR binding site and terminator structure. This RNA structure is found upstream of a variety of genes involved in pyrimidine biosynthesis and transport. The record is from Rfam. NCBI's taxonomy places the organism in Bacteria, Bacillati, Bacillota, Bacilli, Lactobacillales, Streptococcaceae.